GAUGAACGCUAGCGAUAGGCUUAACACAUGCAAGUCGAGGGGCAGCAUGGUCUUAGCUUGCUAAGACUGAUGGCGACCGGCGCACGGGUGCGUAACGCGUAUGCAACUUGCCUCACAGAGGGGGAUAACCCGUCGAAAGACGGACUAAUACCGCGUACACUUGGGAUAGGGCAUCCUGACCCAAGGAAAUGAAAUUCGCUGUGAGAUAGGCAUGCGUCCCAUUAGCUAGUUGGUGAGGUAACGGCUCACCAAGGCGACGAUGGGUAGGGGAACUGAGAGGUUGAACCCCCACACUGGUACUGAGACACGGACCAGACUCCUACGGGAGGCAGCAGUGAGGAAUAUUGGUCAAUGGGCGAGAGCCUGAACCAGCCAAGUCGCGUGAAGGAUGACUGUCUUAUGGAUGGUAAACUUCUUUUAGACGGGAAUAACAAGAGCCACGUGUGGCUCCCUGCAUGUACCGUAUGAAUAAGCAUCGGCUAACUCCGUG
This 490-nucleotide ribosomal RNA is filed under the name uncultured bacterium. RNAcentral's name for it is "partial 16S ribosomal RNA". It matches the Rfam family "Bacterial small subunit ribosomal RNA", at positions 28 to 507 of the family's 1533-position model. The record is from RNAcentral.